GAGAGAGAAAGACAGCAGUGGAAAUGUACUUAGACUUCAUUAUUUUAACAACUCUUCUCUUCCAACUUGUUAGUCCUAUAGGGGCAGUAUUUCAUUUUUGGAUAAAAAGACGUGCCCGUUUUUAGCGCAAUAUUUUGUCACGAAAAGAUGCUCGACUAUGCUUGGAAUUGAUAGUUUUGGAAAGAAGACACUCUGACGUUUCCAGAACUGCAAAGAUUUUCACUGUGAGUGCCAUAGAACAAAAUCUACAGGCAAAACCAAGAUGUUUGAGCGACCAGGAAAUCAACAGGAUUUCUGAAGGCACGUUUUCCAUGAUCGCCUUAUAUGGCUGUGAAUGCGACAGGAAUGAACGGACACUUCCUAUCGUUUCCCCCAGGUGUCUGCAGCAUUGUGACGUAUUUGUAGGCAUAUCAUUGGAAGAUUGACCAUAAGAGACUACAAUUGCCAAGUGUCCCGCACGGUGUCUGCGUGGCAAUUGGUGCGCAAAAGUCAGCUACCAGUAUUUUUCCAUCCGAAUCAGAGAAGAAUGCACGCUUCCAGGGACGGCAUUUCAAUGAAGAGAUAUAUGACAAAACACCUUGAGGAUUGAUUCAAACAACGUUUUCCAUGUUUCAGUCGAUAUUAUGGAGUUAAUUCGGAAAAAAGUUUGACGUUUAGGUGACUGAAUUUUCGGUUAGUUUCGGUAGCCAAAUGCAUAGUAACAAAACGGAACGUUGUGUCCUACACAAGCAUCUUUCAGGAAAAACUGGACAUCUGCUAUGUAACUGAGAGUCUCCUCAUUGAAAAAUCUGAAGUUCUUCAAAGGUCAUUACCCUGUCUAGCCUGCCAGAAAUGUGUGAGGGUGAAGACUGUGGUGUCGAAGUUGAAGCCCAUCAAAGUUGUUUCGUCAUGGCAUAUGAUCGUGGUGGACUUCACUAAAUCCAGGAAUGGCAACAGCUGGUGUCUGACGGCGACCGAUCACAUUACCAAGUGGGUGGAGGUAAUGCCUAUUCAGGCCAGUAAAGUAAGAGUAUGUGCUUAACUCUAUAUUCCCUUCUGUAACCCAAUAAAAAGGGUGCUUGGAACAACAACAACACAUAUUUUUGUUUUGUAUUAUACCCAUCUUGGACGAGACUGGCGAGGCCACCCAGGGUUCUCCUGAGGUCGUCUUGAGUGACCGACGUCAUGAACACUGGAACAAGGUUUGGUGAACGGACCAACCAGACCCACCUUCAUACACGGACUGAGAAGGAUGUAGAGGUUUUUGACCAGUCCCUCGGAUACUCAAAAAGUUCUACAGCUGCACCAUUGAGAGCAUCUUGACUGGCUGCAUCACCGCUUGGUAUGGCAACUGCUUGGCAUCCGACCUCAAGACGCUACAGAGGGUAAAUCAAAUCAAAGUUUAUUUAUCACGUGCACCAAAUACAACAGUGAAAUGCUUACUUACAGGCUCUAACCAAUAGUGCAAAAAAUGUAUUUUUGAACAAUAUUUAUUUUACCAGGCAAGUCAGUUAAGAACAAAUUCUUAUUUUCAAUGAUGGCCUAGGAACAGUGGGUUAACUGCCUGUUCAGGGGCAGAAUGACAGAUUUGUACCUUGUCAGCUUGGGAUUUGAACUUACAACCUUCUGCUUACAAGGCCACCGCUCUAACCACUAGACUACCCUGCCGCCCCAAUAGGUAGGUAAAGAAAUAAAACAACAGUGAAACAUAACAGUAGAGAGGCUAUAUACAGUAGCAAGGCUAUGAAAGUAGCGAGGCUACAUACAGACACCGGUUAGUCGGGCUGAUUGAGGUAGUAUGUACAUGUAGAUAUGGUUAAAUCUGCACACAAUGCAGAUAGUCCGGGUAGCCAUUUGAUUACCUGUUCAGGAGUCUAAUGGCUUGGGGGUAAAAACCGUUGAGAAGCCUUUUUGUACUAGACUUGGCACUCCAGUACCGCUUGUCAUGCGGUAGUAGAGAGAACAGUCUAUGACUGGGGUGGCUGGGGUCUUUGACAAUUUUUAGGGCCUUCCUCUGACACCGCCUGGUGUAGAGGUCCUGGAUGGCAGGCAGCUUAGCCCCAGUGAUGUACUGGGCCGUAUGCACUGCCCUCUGUCGUGCCUUGCGAUCGGAGGCUGAGCAAUUGCCGUAGCAGGUAGUGAUGCAACCGGUCAGGCAGGAUGCUCUCGAUGGUGCAGCUGUAGAACCUUUUGAGGAUCUGAGGACCCAUGCUAAGUCUUUUCAGUCUCCUUAGGGGGAAUAGGCUUUGUCGUGCCCUCUUCACAGCUGUCUUGGUAUGUUUGGACCAUUCUAGUUUGUUGGUGAUGUGGACACCAAGGAACUUGAAGCUCUCAACCUGCUCCACUACAGCCCCAUCGAUGAGAAUGGGAGCGUGCUUGGUCCUCCUUUUCCUGUAGUCCACAAUCAUCUCCUUAGUCUUGGUUACGUUAAGCGACAGGUUGUUAUUCUGGCACCACCCGGCCAGGUCUUUGACCUCCUCCCUUUAGGCUGUCUCGUCGUUGUCGGUGAUUGUGCCUACCACUAUUGUGUCGUCUGCAAACGUAAUGAUGGUGUUGGAGUCGUGCCUGGCCACAGUGUUGCUACUGUGAUGACCCUCCCCCUCUGUCUGCCGUAUUCUCUCUUUGUUCUUGUUUCCUUAUUAGGAUGCCGGUGGGCGGAGUUGGGAGGGUCGUCAGCUUCAUGGGAAACACCUGGGCCUGGUAUGUCCCAGGAUAAAUACACCACUUCCCCAGUCAUGGAAGAGACUCUCUCCAUGCAGACACCUUUACAGAUUUUGUUGUGUUUCUUGGUGGUUUUUUGGUUGUUUGCUUUGGCAUCUUUCAACACCCUGCAUUAUCACAUUCAUGCAUGCAAAACACUCACUUACACUACUGAUUACUGAUUACA
Long non-coding RNA from Oncorhynchus keta (chum salmon), 2866 nucleotides. RefSeq lists it as uncharacterized. The transcript is spliced from 5 exons. The record is from RefSeq and is a predicted model, not a curated record. NCBI's taxonomy places the organism in Eukaryota, Metazoa, Chordata, Actinopteri, Salmoniformes, Salmonidae.